Vitis riparia (riverbank grape) is the source of this 909-nucleotide long non-coding RNA. RefSeq lists it as uncharacterized. NCBI's taxonomy places the organism in Eukaryota, Viridiplantae, Streptophyta, Magnoliopsida, Vitales, Vitaceae. The transcript is spliced from 3 exons. The record is from RefSeq and is a predicted model, not a curated record.
CUUUGUUUCGUAUCUGUUUCUCGCAUUUUACCGAGAAAAUCUCACGUCAUUUCCAAGAAAAAGCCCUACCACCGUAUCGUUUCCAAACUCAAGCUGUGAUAAGAGAUGUUUCCUCCGGCUGACGACCCUCCUGAUCUAGGGAUCCCACCCAACGGCGGCCCUCUGCCCGUCAGGACAAACCCUCGCGUUCGUCCCGGCCAUCAACGCAAUGCCCGGCCGCAGGGGAUUCUGGGGGCCCGAGCUCACCGAGGCGCUCUAUAACAAAAUCGGCGUGAUAGAGCAGGAGUGGUCGUUUCUUGACGGAAUUAAGUCUGGGACAUCGUUGAAGUUCGGGUAGGAAAGUUUGUUAAGGAGGUUUGGAGAGCGGGACUGACUCGAUCAGUUGCGGUCAGAAAUGAGGAUCGGCGUUCGGAGGCCUAGGCUUGCUCUUGUGAGUUUUUGCUUUGAGAAUGGAGAAUGUUUGCGUGAGGUAGUGCAUCUGGAAAUGGAUCACGUUCACCCUUCAAAUUUGAGUCUCCCAUUUCUCUCAAGGCAGGACAAAAUGAGAUUGCUCUUUUGAGCAUGACUGUUGGCCUACAAGUAAGUUGCCCUCCUUUAUUUUAUUUACUUAAGUGCUUGACACUUGCUGGAAGGAUCUGGUUGUUUGUUUUGAUUGCCUCACACUAACUUUUUAUGGUGCAAUGGGCUAUAUGCUUCUAUUGGAAAAGAAACACAGUGCAGACAUACAUUGCCUUCUCCUAUGUGGUGUUUUAACCUUCACAAGUCCUUCGGAUAAAAUGUUCAUUGCAACUAGCUAGUUUGCAAUUGCUUUGUUUGACAUCUUUUUGUACUUUUUUAUUAUUUCAGGGCUAAUUUUUAUUUCCUGGAUGAUGACAUUUACUCGUCAUGAGAUAUACCGGGGGUUUUUAA